AUACGGAGGAUCCGAGCGUUAUCCGGAUUUAUUGGGUUUAAAAGGUGCGCAGGCGGCCAUUUAAGUCAGCGGUUAAAUCGUGGGGCUCAACCCCAUUCUGCCGUUGAUACUGGGUGGCUUGAUUGCGGUCGAGGUUGGCGGAAUUCGUUGUGUAGCGGUGAAAUGCAUAGAUAUGACGAAGAACACCGAUUGCGUAGGCAGCUGACCAGAUCGCAAAUGACGCUCAUGCACGAAAGUGCGGGGAUCGAACAGGAUUAGAUACCCUGGUAGUCCGCACAGUAAACGAUGAAUACUUGUUUUCGGCGAUAUAAUGUCGGAGGCAAAGCGAAAGCGAUAAGUAUUCCACCUGGGGAGUACGCCGGCAACGGUGAAACUCAAAUGAAUUGACGGGG
This 392-nucleotide ribosomal RNA is filed under the name uncultured bacterium. RNAcentral's name for it is "partial 16S ribosomal RNA". It matches the Rfam family "Bacterial small subunit ribosomal RNA", at positions 523 to 918 of the family's 1533-position model. The record is from RNAcentral.